This 1445-nucleotide ribosomal RNA is filed under the name Francisella sp. WO2007054537. Its description in RNAcentral is "bacterial SSU rRNA". It matches the Rfam family "Bacterial small subunit ribosomal RNA". Lineage: Bacteria; Pseudomonadati; Pseudomonadota; Gammaproteobacteria; Thiotrichales; Francisellaceae. The record is from RNAcentral.
UAACAGGUCUUCGGAUGCUGACGAGUGGCGGACGGGUGAGUAACGCGUAGGAAUCUGCCCAUCUGUGGGGGAUACCAGUUGGAAACGACUGUUAAUACCGCAUAAUAUCUGCGGAUUAAAGGUGGCCUUUGUGCUGCCGCAGAUGGAUGAGCCUGCGUUGGAUUAGCUAGUUGGUAGGGUAAGGGCCUACCAAGGCUACGAUCCAUAGCUGAUUUGAGAGGAUGAUCAGCCACAUUGGGACUGAGACACGGCCCAAACUCCUACGGGAGGCAGCAGUGGGGAAUAUUGGACAAUGGGGGAAACCCUGAUCCAGCAAUGCCAUGUGUGUGAAGAAGGCUCUAGGGUUGUAAAGCACUUUAGUUGGGGAGGAAAGCCUAUAAGUUAAUAGCUUGUAGGAAGGACGUUACCCAAAGAAUAAGGACCGGCUAACUCCGUGCCAGCAGCCGCGGUAAUACGGGGGGUCCGAGCGUUAAUCGGAAUUACUGGGCGUAAAGGGUCUGUAGGUGGUUUGUUAAGUCAGAUGUGAAAGCCCAGGGCUCAACCUUGGAACUGCAUUUGAUACUGGCAAACUAGAGUAUGGUAGAGGAAUGGGGAAUUUCUGGUGUAGCGGUGAAAUGCGUAGAGAUCAGAAGGAACACCAAUGGCGAAGGCAACAUUCUGGAUCAAUACUGACACUGAGGGACGAAAGCGUGGGGAUCAAACAGGAUUAGAUACCCUGGUAGUCCACGCUGUAAACGAUGAGUACUAGCUGUUGGAUUCGGUGUAAAGGAUCUAGUGGCGCAGCUAACGCGUUAAGUACUCCGCCUGGGGACUACGGCCGCAAGGCUAAAACUCAAAGGAAUUGACGGGGACCCGCACAAGCGGUGGAGCAUGUGGUUUAAUUCGAUGCAACGCGAAGAACCUUACCUGGUCUUGACAUCCUGCGAACUUUCUAGAGAUAGAUUGGUGCCUUCGGGAACGCAGUGACAGGUGCUGCACGGCUGUCGUCAGCUCGUGUUGUGAAAUGUUGGGUUAAGUCCCGCAACGAGCGCAACCCCUAUUGAUAGUUACCAUCAUUAAGUUGGGUACUCUAUUGAGACUGCCGCUGACAAGGCGGAGGAAGGUGGGGACGACGUCAAGUCAUCAUGGCCCUACGACCAGGGCUACACACGUGCUACAAUGGGUAUUACAGAGGGCUGCGAAGGUGCGAGCUGGAGCGAAACUCAGAAAGGUACUCUUAGUCCGGAUUGCAGUCUGCAACUCGACUGCAUGAAGUCGGAAUCGCUAGUAAUCGCAGGUCAGAAUACUGCGGUGAAUACGUUCCCGGGUCUUGUACACACCGCCCGUCACACCAUGGGAGUGGGUUGCUCCAGAAGUAGAUAGUUUAACGAAUGGGCGUUUACCACGGAGUGAUUCAUGACUGGGGUGAAGUCGUAACAAGGUAGCCGUAGGGGAACCUGCGGCUG